Molecule: ribosomal RNA, 801 nt
Filed under: uncultured bacterium
Lineage: Bacteria
Description: bacterial SSU rRNA
Rfam family: Bacterial small subunit ribosomal RNA
Source: RNAcentral
AGAGUUUGAUCAUGGCUCAGAUUGAACGCUGGCGGCAGGCCUAACACAUGCAAGUCGAGCGGUAACACAGAGGAGCUUGCUCCUUGGGUGACGAGCGGCGGACGGGUGAGUAAUGCCUGGGGAUCUGCCCGAUAGAGGGGGAUAACUACGGGAAACUGUAGCUAAUACCGCAUAACGUCUACGGACCAAAGUGGGGGCUCUUCGGACCUCAUGCUAUCGGAUGAACCCAGGUGGGAUUAGCUAGUUGGUGAGGUAAUGGCUCACCAAGGCGACGAUCUCUAACUGGUUUGAGAGAAUGACCAGUCACACUGGAACUGAGACACGGUCCAGACUCCUACGGGAGGCAGCAGUGGGGAAUAUUGCACAAUGGGCGCAAGCCUGAUGCAGCCAUGCCGCGUGUGUGAAGAAGGCCUUCGGGUUGUAAAGCACUUUCAGCGGGGAGGAAGGGUCACUAGUUAAUACCUGGUGGCAUUGACGUUACUCGCAGAAGAAGCACCGGCUAACUCCGUGCCAGCAGCCGCGGUAAUACGGAGGGUGCAAGCGUUAAUCGGAAUUACUGGGCGUAAAGCGCACGCAGGCGGUUUGUUAAGUCAGAUGUGAAAUCCCCGAGCUCAACUUGGGAACUGCAUUUGAAACUGGCAAGCUAGAGUCUUGUAGAGGGGGGUAGAAUUCCAGGUGUAGCGGUGAAAUGCGUAGAGAUCUGGAGGAAUACCGGUGGCGAAGGCGGCCCCCUGGACAAAGACUGACGCUCAGGUGCGAAAGCGUGGGGAGCAAACAGGAUUAGAUACCCCGGUAGUCCAA